RNAcentral lists this ribosomal RNA (474 nucleotides) under uncultured organism. Its description in RNAcentral is "partial 16S ribosomal RNA". It matches the Rfam family "Bacterial small subunit ribosomal RNA", at positions 331 to 797 of the family's 1533-position model. The record is from RNAcentral.
GUACACUCCUGCGGGAGGCAGCAGUGGGGAAUUUUGGACAAUGGGCGAAAGCCUGAUCCAGCAAUGCCGCGUGUGUGAAGAAGGCCUUCGGGUUGUAAAGCACUUUUGUCCGGAAAGAAAUCCUUGGCUCUAAUACAGUCGGGGGAUGACGGUACCGGAAGAAUAAGCACCGGCUAACUACGUGCCAGCAGCCGCGGUAAUACGUAGGGUGCGAGCGUUAAUCGGAAUUACUGGGCGUAAAGCGUGCGCAGGCGGUUUGCUAAGACCGAUGUGAAAUCCCCGGGCUCAACCUGGGAACUGCAUUGGUGACUGGCAGGCUAGAGUAUGGCAGAGGGGGGUAGAAUUCCACGUGUAGCAGUGAAAUGCGUAGAGAUGUGGAGGAAUACCGAUGGCGAAGGCAGCCCCCUGGGCCAAUACUGACGCUCAUGCACGAAAGCGUGGGGAGCAAACAGGAUUAGAAACCCGGGUAGUCCC